GUCAACGGUCAUACCACGUUGUAACGCACCAGUUCUCGUCCGAUCACUGAAGUUAAGCAACAUUGGGCA
Molecule: ribosomal RNA, 69 nt
Filed under: Lasius niger
Lineage: Eukaryota; Metazoa; Arthropoda; Insecta; Hymenoptera; Formicidae
Source: RNAcentral